RNAcentral lists this ribosomal RNA (1342 nucleotides) under Diabrotica virgifera virgifera (western corn rootworm). RNAcentral's name for it is "18S ribosomal RNA". Lineage: Eukaryota; Metazoa; Arthropoda; Insecta; Coleoptera; Chrysomelidae. The record is from RNAcentral.
AAUAAAAAAUUUAUUUUAUUUAUAUUUUUAUUUAUUUUAAAAUAAUAAAAUAUUUUUUAGUAAAAGUAAAGAAAAAUUUUAUUUAAUGAUAGUUAAUUAGUAUUGUGAGAGAAUAUUUUAUUUUUAUAAAAGAAAAAUUUAUUUUUUGUACCUUGUGUAUCAGGGAUUAUUAAUUAAUAAUUAUAUAUUUAUUAUUUUCGAAUUUAAAAGAGCUAAAAAAUUAAAAUUUUUAUUGUAAAAUAAAUAUUUUAAAUAAUUUUUUUGUAAUGAAAUGUUAUUCGUUUUUAAAUAUAUCUAAUUUUUUAAGAAAUAAAUUAAAUUUAUUUAUUAACAAUAUAUUUAUAAUUAAAUAUUUUUAUAUUAUUAAUAUUAAAUAUUUUUAGGGAUGAGCUUAAAAAUAAAAUUUUAUUAAAAUUUAAUUUUUAAAUAAAAAUUAGGAUUAAAAAUUUUCAUAUUUUAAAAUAUGUUAUUAUUUAUUUUUAUAUAUUAUUAUUUUUAUUUUUUAUAAAUUUUUUAUUAAAAUAUAAAUUUAAAUUAUUUAAAUUUAGUAAUGAUGAUAAUAUUAGUAUUAAAAAAUUGUAUAUUUAGUAAAAAUAUAUAGGUUUAAUAAAGGAAUUCGGCAACAUUUUUUUCACCUGUUUAUUAAAAACAUGUCUUUUUGUAUUAAAUAUAAAGUCUCGCCUGCCCACUGAUUAAUUUGAAUGGCCGCGGUAUUUUGACCGUGCUAAGGUAGCAUAAUCAUUAGUUUUUUUAUUGAAAGCUGGAAUGAAGGGUUGGAUGAAAAAAAAACUGUCUUUAUUUAAUUUAUAAAGAAUUUUAUUUUUAAGUUAAAAAGCUUAAAUUUUUUUAAAAGACGAGAAGACCCUAUAGAGUUUUAUAAAAUUAUUAAUAAGUUUUUUUAGUAUUAAAUUUAUUUAUAUAAUAAAUUUAUUUAAUUGGGGUGAUUAAAAAAUAAAUUUAACUUUUUUUAUAUUAUUAUAUUAAUUAAUAAUUUUUUGAUCCAAUUUUUUUGAUUAUAAGAAUAAAUUACCUUAGGGAUAACAGCGUAAUUUUAUUGGAGAGUUCAAAUCGAUAAUAAAGAUUGCGACCUCGAUGUUGGAUUAAAGUUUAUAAUUGGUGUAGCAGCUAUAUUAUUAAGUCUGUUCGACUUUUAAAAUUUUACAUGAUCUGAGUUUAAACCGGUGUGAGCCAGGUUGGUUUCUAUCUUUAAUUUAUUAAUAUAUUUUAGUACGAAAGGACCAAAUAUAUAAAAUAAUUUUUAUAUUUAGAUAAAUAUUGUUAUUUUGGCAGAUUAGUGCUAUAGAUUUAGAAUCUUUAUAUGUAAUUAUUUUACAAAUAAUAC